GGCCUAACACAUGCAAGUCGAACGCCCUACUUUGUAGGGAGUGGCAGACGGGUUAGUAACGCGUGGGAACCUACCUAGUAGUAUGGAAUAGCCUCGGGAAACUGGGAUUAAUACCAUAUACGCCCUUCGGGGGAAAGAUUUAUCGCUAUUAGAUGGGCCCGCGUUAGAUUAGUUAGUUGGUGGGGUAAUGGCCUACCAAGACUACGAUCUAUAGCUGGUUUGAGAGGAUGAUCAGCAACACUGGGACUGAGACACGGCCCAGACUCCUACGGGAGGCAGCAGUGGGGAAUAUUGGACAAUGGGCGCAAGCCUGAUCCAGCCAUGCCGCGUGAGUGAUGAAGGCCCUAGGGUUGUAAAGCUCUUUCAAUGGUGAAGAUAAUGACGGUAACCAUAGAAGAAGCCCCGGCUAACUUCGUGCCAGCAGCCGCGGUAACACGAAGGGGGCUAGCGUUGUUCGGAAUUACUGGGCGUAAAGCGCACGUAGGCGGAUUGAUAAGUUAGGGGUGAAAUCCCGAGGCUCAACCUCGGAACUGCCUUUAAUACUGUCAGUCUCGAGUCCGGAAGAGGUGAGUGGAAUUCCUAGUGUAG
Molecule: ribosomal RNA, 588 nt
Filed under: uncultured bacterium
Lineage: Bacteria
Description: bacterial SSU rRNA
Rfam family: Bacterial small subunit ribosomal RNA
Source: RNAcentral